AAGUGGUAGUAUAAAUAGUAUGCUUUCCUUCCAAGAAAGUGGUCCACUUUUUGGCUACUUCU
RNAcentral lists this transfer RNA (62 nucleotides) under Xylophagaidae sp. E23. RNAcentral's name for it is "tRNA-Gly". Lineage: Eukaryota; Metazoa; Mollusca; Bivalvia; Myida; Xylophagaidae. RNAcentral also lists the same sequence under 1 other name. The record is from RNAcentral.